AUCCAUCUGACGAGUCCCAAAUAGGACGAAACACGCGUCAAACUGGAU
This 48-nucleotide non-coding RNA is filed under the name Schistosoma mattheei. Lineage: Eukaryota; Metazoa; Platyhelminthes; Trematoda; Strigeidida; Schistosomatidae. The record is from RNAcentral.